RNAcentral lists this ribosomal RNA (484 nucleotides) under uncultured bacterium. Its description in RNAcentral is "partial 16S ribosomal RNA". It matches the Rfam family "Bacterial small subunit ribosomal RNA", at positions 30 to 507 of the family's 1533-position model. The record is from RNAcentral.
AUUGAACGCUGGCGGAAUGCUUUACACAUGCAAGUCGAACGGCAGCACGGGGGCAGCCCUGGUGGCGAGUGGCGAACGGGUGAGUAAUACAUCGGAACGUGCCCGGUCGUGGGGGAUAACGUAGCGAAAGUUACGCUAAUACCGCAUACGAUCUGAGGAUGAAAGCGGGGGACCUUCGGGCCUCGCGCGAUCGGAGCGGCCGAUGUCAGAUUAGGUAGUUGGUGGGGUAAAGGCCUACCAAGCCGACGAUCUGUAGCUGGUCUGAGAGGACGACCAGCCACACUGGGACUGAGACACGGCCCAGACUCCUACGGGAGGCAGCAGUGGGGAAUUUUGGACAAUGGGCGCAAGCCUGAUCCAGCCAUUCCGCGUGCAGGACGAAGGCCUUCGGGUUGUAAACUGCUUUUGUACGGAACGAAAAGGCUCUGGCUAAUACCUGGGGCUCAUGACGGUACCGUAGGAAUAAGCACCGGCUAACUACGUG